RNAcentral lists this ribosomal RNA (468 nucleotides) under uncultured bacterium. RNAcentral describes it as "partial 16S ribosomal RNA". It matches the Rfam family "Bacterial small subunit ribosomal RNA", at positions 28 to 507 of the family's 1533-position model. The record is from RNAcentral.
GACGAACGCUGGCGGCGUGCUUAACACAUGCAAGUCGAACGGAAAGGCCCUGCUUUUGUGGGGUGCUCGAGUGGCGAACGGGUGAGUAACACGUGAGUAACCUGCCCUUGACUUUGGGAUAACUUCAGGAAACUGGGGCUAAUACCGGAUAGGAGCUCCUGCUGCAUGGUGGGGGUUGGAACGUUUCGGCGGUUGGGGAUGGACUCGCGGCUUAUCAGCUUGUUGGUGGGGUAGUGGCUUACCAAGGCUUUGACGGGUAGCCGGCCUGAGAGGGUGGCCGGCCACAUUGGGACUGAGAUACGGCCCAGACUCCUACGGGAGGCAGCAGUGGGGAAUAUUGCACAAUGGGCGGAAGCCUGAUGCAGCAACGCCGCGUGCGGGAUGACGGCCUUCGGGUUGUAAACCGCUUUCGCCUGUGACGAAGCGUGAGUGACGGUAAUGGGUAAAGAAGCACCGGCUAACUACGUG